AUGGACGUCCCCGGCGGCCGGGCGUACGGGGAGGAGCAGGAGGAGGAGCUGGACCCGGCGAGUACAGCCACUCUGCCUCAGCCUAAGUCACCCCCGCUGUCAGAUAUACCAAUCGGCGUCUCAUCUCCAUCGCCGCCUCCACCACCACCACCACCACGGCCGCCUAGUCAUCGUCUCCCGGAAGCAAAGGCGAAGACGAAGAAGAAGCAUCGCAAGGUGCAAGACGAAGACGGCAAGGUAAGGUUGCCACUGCUGGAGAAGAUGAAGAAGCAAGAGGAGAAGAGGAUGGAGGACAAGAAAGCGAGGGAGGCGGCGAACGGUGGAAGACAGCCGACUGAGCACGAGGAUUGGGACGUGUCACCAAAGCUGCUGCCGGCGAGCGAGGAUCCAGGGACGCCGCCGACGACGGAGCUGGUGACGAACAUGGCGGCCGCGGUGGUGGUGCUGGUGGGGAUCGCGCUGUCAGUUUGGCGCACCAUGAGCAGCAGCUAG
RNAcentral lists this ribosomal RNA (492 nucleotides) under Triticum aestivum (bread wheat). RNAcentral's name for it is "partial small subunit ribosomal RNA". The record is from RNAcentral. Lineage: Eukaryota; Viridiplantae; Streptophyta; Magnoliopsida; Poales; Poaceae.